This 271-nucleotide non-coding RNA is filed under the name Pongo abelii (Sumatran orangutan). The record is from RNAcentral. Lineage: Eukaryota; Metazoa; Chordata; Mammalia; Primates; Hominidae.
UGCAACCUCCGCCUCCUGGGCUCAAGUGAUUCUCGUGCCUCAGCCUCCUGAGUAGCUGGGACUACAGGUCAUAGAAUUUUCCACACUCCUUGACGGAGGUUCUUAACCCUUAUCCAUCAGCAUUCUCAGACAGCACCUCCGGUUAGGGACAGUAUCUGACCGUCCGACAUCCCUGCAGCCCCCAUGCUGUCACACAGACUCAGCCUCAGGUAGAUGGUUUCCGUAGAUGGUGGCUUUCUUUGGACCCUUGAUAUCAACCAGUUACUAUUUG